Molecule: long non-coding RNA, 2607 nt
Organism: Pseudopipra pipra
Lineage: Eukaryota; Metazoa; Chordata; Aves; Passeriformes; Pipridae
Exons: 4
Source: RefSeq, a predicted model, not a curated record
CGAGCGCGGCGCGCGGCGGGGCGGGCCCCGGCCGGCGGGACGUGGCGCCGCGGCCAAUGGGAGCGCAGGUUUGGUUGGCCAAGCGCGGGGAGGGGAGGGCGCUUGGACGAGAGUUCCCAGAGCGGGGCGGGGCCGCUGGGCAUUGUGGGAAGGUGGCGGACCGGGGGCUUUAUGGUGGGGCGAGCAGGGCUGGGCGCCUUCUGUGACCGCAGAGCCGCUGCCACCCCCCUGCCCUCCACGGGCCCAUGGCCGGACCCCACUGGGCCUGUAGGGCCUUGGCGGCCGGUGAUGCGACGGCGCAGGGCGGGCCCGGGCCCUGGACGAUGCGGCUCCUCCCGCACCGCGCGGGGCACCCGUGGGUGCCCGAGGCCAGGCAGGCCCAACCCUGAGUGGGAAGGACCCGUCUCAGCCAUAGGCCCGCGGAUCUGGCCAGCCUGGCCGCCUACAGCUGCGGCAGCCCUCGGUGCAAAGGAGGAGAACGCCGAGGCCCUGCAGUGCCAGCCCAGCGCUCCCAAGCUGUGGCUGCUGCUGUCCCCUGACCCCGAACCACUAGAGCCUGGCGAGCACAGAGCCUGUCAGGGUGAGCUCUGUGGGUGCCACCUCAGAGGCCUUCCUCACUCUGCGUCUCUCCACACAGGGGGUCUCAGCGCUGGCUUUAACCCAGGUUUCCUCAUUAUUUCCCAGUGCUUCUGCUGGUAUUUUGGAGUUCUUACAGACACCCAACACCACCCAUUCUGUCUGUAUUCAUGUUCCCACACCUCCUGGGCUGGGCUCACUCACCUUCCCACAUCUACUCUGCCUAUGAGUGCCCCACAGCCGAGAGGACUGUUACUCUCUCAUCACUGAUCUCUAUAACCCCUGCAACACUGCUCUGACAGGUAAAAGAGACAGUAUUCUCAGGCAAAAAGCAGGAUCUCAGAGCCUACAUUUUCAUUGUAAUGACAGCAUGGAUUUCACCUUGUGUCCAGAGCUUCAGAGAAGAAAAUGUCUGUACAACUUCUCUCCUUGAAUCAGUUCUGGAGUGGAAUAUAAUAUCUGAAUAAUUUACAAAGGCUCUUCAUUAUACAGAUUUAUUUUUGGCAGCUUUGUUAGACUGCUCCUUUUAGGAACUAAUAGGAAGUUUCUCUGGUUCCAUUAGGACAUCCCUGUACAAGUCCUUCCAUCUGGGACCAGGGACUGGGACAGUUUAUUGCUCCAUUAGCAAUGCAAAAUAUAAACUCCUGGUCCUUGGGUAACCAGGCUCCAGUCCAGUGGCCAGAUGAGUAAGGAUGUCCCUAAACCUGCCAUCUCACAGGAAGUGGGAGCAAUGGCAAGAUCUUCCCUCUGUGGACAGGAGACCAGUAUGGAGGCACAGGAGAGGUCUGGUCCUGCACCAGCUCCAAGCAGGAAGUUGCUCCUGCUUUCCAGCCAGACUGUAUUGACCCCCACUGACACACUUAGGCUACUGCCUGGGCAAGGCUAGAAUUCCCCCUUCUUCAGAUGCAGAUGCAUUCCUGGCUGGAAAUAGGCCCAUUAAAAAGUCAUUUACCAGGCACAAGUGAGUUUGUGUUCCCCUGGAUUGGGAUUUGCCAAGAUUAUACCAUAAAUCAGUGUGUUUCCUGGAAGAAUGUAAGGAGGGGAAAAAAAAAAAAGAUAAAAUGGAACAUUUUGUAGCCAACAGAAAAGCCAAUAAAGGAACAUUUCAUUUCCCGCUUGGAAUGGAGCAACUGCAAGCUGCUGCAAGGGGAGGGAUGGCAGGGCAGGGCAGUGUGAGCAGGGCACCCGUGCCUGCUCCAGGAUGGGGGAAGAGGACAACAAUGACCUGGUCUGGUCUCCUGCACACACUGACUACAAACUGCAUCUCUCUGCCAUUGAACAGAGCCUGAGCUGGGGUGGCUCAGUUUCUCUACAUGUAAAAUGGGGGACCAGGAGGCCAGCCCGCUGGGGGAAGACUGUCUGCCCUGUUUUCCAACCUUUAUUCUGUUGGGACACAAAGCCUGCCUGCACUAUUAAUAAUCCUUGGCAUGAAGCUGUCACAGUUUCCACUAAUAUGGAGAUGCUGAAGUGAAAAAGCUACUGCACAACAUGCAGGAGGUGUCACAAUAACUCAGCUGCUAUAUUGUUCUCUUUAAAAAUAAAUACCACAACAGGCCAGCCCACAUUGCUGGAGUCAUGACGUGUGGAGUUUUAUUUUUAAUCAGAAAAUUUACUGAUUUUUAAAGAUAGACACAGAGCAGCAUCUGAAUGUGAUGAAAGUUCCCUGUGCACUCUCACACACCAGCUAUGUUCCUGCCUGUUAUUCUCCGGAUGGUUUCCAAGGACCUGAUCCCGCCUCAGCACAGGCACAUUUGUGUGUGUGGCUUUUCAAGUGGCCCCAUGGCAACCAAGUCCUUCCAGAAAUAAAGGUUGUGGCUGAAUUCCCCAUCUCACUGCUCUCUGUGGGGAGACAGUUGAUCCCUCAGGACACAAAUUGCAGGGUCCACUCCUCAGGCAGCAGAUUUAGGACCAAACUUUGCAUCCAGAGCAGAAUACUCCAUUGCAGGUGAAUUACCUUUCCUUUGCCUUCCUUCAUGCUCAGCAAAAGCAUUUUGCGCUGAAAUAAAGCAAAACGAACCCCUGAGUAAAAAA